RNAcentral lists this unclassified non-coding RNA (384 nucleotides) under uncultured Actinomycetes bacterium. RNAcentral's name for it is "uncultured actinobacterium contains 16S-23S intergenic spacer region". The record is from RNAcentral. Lineage: Bacteria; Bacillati; Actinomycetota; Actinomycetes.
UCCGAGUUGACCCCGGCAGUCCCCCAUGAGUCCCCAGCCACCCGAAAGCGCUGCUGGCAACAUGGAGCAAGGGUUGCGCUCGUUGCGGGACUUAACCCAACAUCUCACGACAUGAGCUGACGACAGCCAUGCACCACCUGUCACCCGAUCCGAAGAGGCACCCAUCUCUGAGUGUUUCCGGGCGAUGUCAAGCCUUGGUAAGGUUCUUCGCGUUGCGUCGAAUUAAGCAACAUGCUCCGCCGCUUGUGCGGGCCCCCGUCAAUUCCUUUGAGUUUUAGCCUUGCGGCCGUACUCCCCAGGCGGGGCACUUAAUGCGUUAGCUACGGCGCGGAAAACGUGGAAUGUCCCCCACACCUAGUGCCCAACGUUUACGGCAUGGACUAC